Molecule: ribosomal RNA, 253 nt
Filed under: uncultured bacterium
Lineage: Bacteria
Description: partial 16S ribosomal RNA
Rfam family: Bacterial small subunit ribosomal RNA
Source: RNAcentral
CACGUAGGGCGCAAGCGUUGUCCGGAAUUAUUGGGCGUAAAGAGCUCGUAGGCGGUCUGUCGCGUCUGCCGUGAAAACCCGGGGCUUAACCUUGGGCUUGCGGUGGAUACGGGCGGACUUGAGGUAGGUAGGGGAGAAUGGAAUUCCCGGUGUAGCGGUGAAAUGCGCAGAUAUCGGGAGGAACACCGGUGGCGAAGGCGGUUCUCUGGGCCUUACCUGACGCUGAGGAGCGAAAGCGUGGGGAGCGAACAGG